RNAcentral lists this microRNA precursor (108 nucleotides) under Dasypus novemcinctus (nine-banded armadillo). RNAcentral describes it as "miRNA (ENSDNOG00000029485.2)". Lineage: Eukaryota; Metazoa; Chordata; Mammalia; Cingulata; Dasypodidae. The record is from RNAcentral.
UUAGGAUAAACAAGUAGCUUUGUUUUGUCUUUAGUUUAUGUCCCAGGUAAUACUUGGGAUAUACUUAUGCUAGAAAAGUGCCCUCUUUUUAGGCUGAACUUUGAAUUU